Molecule: small RNA, 108 nt
Filed under: Pongo abelii (Sumatran orangutan)
Lineage: Eukaryota; Metazoa; Chordata; Mammalia; Primates; Hominidae
Description: processed transcript
Source: RNAcentral
AGAGAAGAAAAGCAAGUGAAAGGAGAGGAAGCGGAUGCCGUGGGUUUACAGCAGGAAAAUCCGUGGAGACAGCAGAUCCGAGAAGCGGCGAUGUUUGCGUAGAACCCU